UACGUAGGGGGCAAGCGUUGUCCGGAAUCAUUGGGCGUAAAGAGCGUGUAGGCGGCUCGAUAAGUCUGCUGUGAAAGUCCAGGGCUCAACCCUGGGAUGCCGGUCGAUACUGCCGGACUAGAGUUCGGAAGAGGCGAGUGGAAUUCCCGGUGUAGCGGUGAAAUGCGCAGAUAUCGGGAGGAACACCUAUGGCGAAGGCAGCUCGCUGGGACGUUACUGACGCUGAGACGCGAAAGCGUGGGGAGCAAACAGG
This 253-nucleotide ribosomal RNA is filed under the name uncultured bacterium. RNAcentral's name for it is "partial 16S ribosomal RNA". It matches the Rfam family "Bacterial small subunit ribosomal RNA", at positions 524 to 776 of the family's 1533-position model. The record is from RNAcentral.